GGCUUUUUGAAAAUGAUUUAAAGUCUAGCCUGCCCAAUGAUGUAAUAAUUUAAUGGCCGCAGUAUUCUGACUGUGCAAAGGUAGCAUAAUCAUUAGUUUUUUAAUUGAAAGCUUGUAUGAAAGGUUUGAUGAGAAAAAAGCUGUCUCUAUAUAAAUUUUUAGAAAUUUAUUUUUAAGUUAAAAAGCUUAAAUUUUCAUUGAAGACGAGAAGACCCUAUAGAGUUUGAUUUCUAUAAUAGUAGAUAAAAUUUAGUAAUUAAAAACUUAUUUAUUAUUGUAUAAAUUUAGUUGGGGUGAUUGAAAAAUUUAUAAAACUUUUUUUGUAUUUUUACAUUUAUUUGUGAGUAUUUGAUCCUUUAUAGAUUAUAAGAUGAAAUUACCUUAGGGAUAACAGCGUAAUUUUUUUUAGAGUUCUUAUCGAAAAAAGAGAUUGCGACCUCGAUGUUGGAUUAAAAAUAAAUUUUUGGUGUAGAAGCUAAUAAAUUAGGUCUGUUCGACCUUUAAAUUUUUACAUGAUCUGAGUUUAAACCGGUGUAAG
This 538-nucleotide ribosomal RNA is filed under the name Kyklioacalles aubei. RNAcentral's name for it is "partial 16S ribosomal RNA". It matches the Rfam family "Bacterial large subunit ribosomal RNA", at positions 1819 to 2625 of the family's 2925-position model. Lineage: Eukaryota; Metazoa; Arthropoda; Insecta; Coleoptera; Curculionidae. The record is from RNAcentral.